RNAcentral lists this ribosomal RNA (460 nucleotides) under uncultured bacterium. RNAcentral describes it as "partial 16S ribosomal RNA". It matches the Rfam family "Bacterial small subunit ribosomal RNA", at positions 338 to 795 of the family's 1533-position model. The record is from RNAcentral.
CCUACGGGUGGCAGCAGUGAGGAAUAUUGGUCAAUGGACGAGAGUCUGAACCAGCCAAGUAGCGUGAAGGAUGACUGCCCUAUGGGUUGUAAACUUCUUUUAUAAAGGAAUAAAACGAGGCACGUGUGCCUUUUUGCAUGUACUUUAUGAAUAAGGAUUGGCUAACUCCGUGCCAGCAGCCGCGGUAAUACGGUGGAUUCGAGCGUUUUCCGGAUUUCUUGGGUUUAAAGGGAGCGUAGAUGGGUUGUUAAGUUAGUUGGGAAAGUUUGCGGCUCAACCGUAAAAUUGCAAUUGAUACUGGCAGUCUUGAGUACAGUUGAGGUAAGCGGAAUGCGUGGUGUAGCGGUGAAAUGCAUAGAUAUCACGAAGAACCCCGAUUGCGAAGGCAGCUUACUAAACUGUGACUGACAUUGAUGCUCGAAAGUGUGGGUAUCAAACAGGAUUAGAUACCCCAGUAGUC